Molecule: ribosomal RNA, 248 nt
Filed under: uncultured bacterium
Lineage: Bacteria
Description: partial 16S ribosomal RNA
Rfam family: Bacterial small subunit ribosomal RNA
Source: RNAcentral
AGGGUGCUAGCGUUGUUCGGAAUUACUGGGCGUAAAGCGCGCGUAGGCGGUUUUUCAAGUCAGUUGUGAAAGCCCGGAGCUCAACUCCGGAACUGCCAUUGAAACUGUGAAACUUGAGGAUGAGAGAGGUGAGUGGAAUUCCCAGUGUAGAGGUGAAAUUCGUAGAUAUUGGGAAGAACACCGGUGGCGAAGGCGGCUCACUGGCUCAUUUCUGACGCUCAGGCGCGACAGCGUGGGGAUCAAACAGG